GUGGAUAAGGCAUGCAAGUCAAGGGGGCUCCGCAAGGAGCAACCGGCAGACGAGGUAGUAAUAAUUAGGUACGUACCCAGGGGUCGGGCAUAGCUCGCCGAAAGGCGGGGUAAUUCCCGAUAGUCUCGAAAGAGUAAAGUUUUUCGCCCCCGGAACGGCCUGAUCGGUAUCAGCUAGUUGGUAAGGUAACGGCUUACCAAGGCUAUGACGCCUAGGGGACCUGAGAGGGUGACCCCCACCGAUGGGACUGAGACACGGCCCAUACACCUACGGGUGGCUGCAGUCGAGAAUCUUCCGCAAUGGACGAAAGUCUGACGGAGCGACGCCGCGUGGAGGAUGAAGUGCUUCGGCAUGUAAACUCCUUUUGCCAGGGAAAAAGUUAUUGAUUGUACCUGGAGAAUAAGAGGAUGCUAAACUCGUGCCAGCAGCAGCGGUAAUACGAGUGCCUCAAGCGUUAUCCGGAAUCAUUGGGCGUAAAGGGUGUGUAGGUGGUUGUAUUAGUCUCGCGUUAAAUCUUUCGGCUCAACCGAGAGGCUGCGUGGGAAACGGUACGACUAAGAGGACGGAAGAGGUUUCUGGAACUCAUGGUGUAGCGGUGGAAUGCGUUGAUAUCAUGGGGAACACCGAAAGCGAAGGCAAGAAACUGGUCCGCUCCUGACACUGAAACACGAAAGCGUGGGUCGCGAAUGGGAUUAGAUACCCCAGUAGUCCACGCCCUAAACGAUGAUCACUAGAUAUGGGGAGUAUCGACCCUCUCCGUGUCGUAGCAAACGCGUUAAGUGAUCCGCCUGGGUAGUA
Molecule: ribosomal RNA, 798 nt
Filed under: uncultured bacterium
Lineage: Bacteria
Description: SSU rRNA
Rfam family: Bacterial small subunit ribosomal RNA
Source: RNAcentral